AUUGAACGCUGGCGGCAUGCCUUACACAUGCAAGUCGAACGGCAGCGGGGACUUCGGUCCGCCGGCGAGUGGCGAACGGGUGAGUAAUGUAUCGGAACGUACCAUUGAGUGGGGGAUAACUAUCCGAAAGGAUAGCUAAUACCGCAUAUUCUCUCCGGAGGAAAGCAGGGGACCGCAAGGCCUUGCGCUCAUUGAGCGGCCGAUAUCAGAUUAGCUAGUUGGUGGGGUAAAAGCUCACCAAGGCGACGAUCUGUAGCGGGUCUGAGAGGAUGAUCCGCCACACUGGAACUGAGACACGGUCCAGACUCCUACGGGAGGCAGCAGUGGGGAAUUUUGGACAAUGGGGGCAACCCUGAUCCAGCCAUGCCGCGUGAGUGAAGAAGGCCUUCGGGUUGUAAAGCUCUUUCGGCCGGGAAAAAAUCGCAUGGGCUAAUAUCCUGUGUGGAUGAUGGUACCGGAAUAAGAAGCACCGGCUAACUACGUGCCAGCAGCCGCAGUAA
This 500-nucleotide ribosomal RNA is filed under the name uncultured bacterium. Its description in RNAcentral is "partial 16S ribosomal RNA". It matches the Rfam family "Bacterial small subunit ribosomal RNA", at positions 30 to 523 of the family's 1533-position model. The record is from RNAcentral.